RNAcentral lists this ribosomal RNA (119 nucleotides) under Pteropus alecto (black flying fox). Lineage: Eukaryota; Metazoa; Chordata; Mammalia; Chiroptera; Pteropodidae. RNAcentral also lists the same sequence under 1 other name. The record is from RNAcentral.
GUUUACGGCCAUGCUACCCUGAACACACCCGAUCCCUUCUGAUCUCGGAAGCUAAGCAGGGUCGGGCCUUGUGAGUACUUGGAUGGGAGACCACCUAGGAAAACCUGGUGCUGAAGGUG